This 445-nucleotide ribosomal RNA is filed under the name uncultured bacterium. RNAcentral's name for it is "bacterial SSU rRNA". It matches the Rfam family "Bacterial small subunit ribosomal RNA", at positions 331 to 792 of the family's 1533-position model. The record is from RNAcentral.
CCAGACUCCUACGGGAGGCAGCAGUGGGGAAUAUUGCACAAUGGGGGGAACCCUGAUGCAGCGACGCCGCGUGGGUGAAGGAGUAUUUCGGUAUGUAAAGCCCUAUCAGCAGGGAAGAACAAUGACGGUACCUGACUAAGAAGCACCGGCUAAAUACGUGCCAGCAGCCGCGGUAAUACGUAGGGGGCAAGCGUUAUCCGGAUUUACUGGGUGUAAAGGGAGCGUAGACGGAAAGGCAAGUCAGAAGUGAAAGCCCAGGGCUCAACCGUGGGACUGCUUUUGAAACUGUCAAACUAGAGUACGGGAGAGGUAAGAGGAAUUCCUAGUGUAGCGGUGAAAUGCGUAGAUAUUAGGAGGAACACCAGUGGCGAAGGCGUCUUACUGGACCGAAACUGACGUUGAGGCUCGAAAGCGUGGGGAGCAAACAGGAUUAGAUCCCCCGGUA